GUGCUCCCUAAAAAUAGAACUUUUCAUCUAUGCGCUUCAGUUGAAAGCUACUGAGGACUGGACACAGUGGUUAGUCUUGGGACCAGUGCUAUUCAACAUCUUCAUCGCUGACACAGACGAUGGCAUCGAGUGCAUCCUCAGCAAGUUUGCAGAUGGACCUGGACAGGCUGGAGAACUGGGCCCAUGUGAAACUAAUGAAGUUCAACAAGGCCAAGUGCAAGAAAGAUGUGGAACUCUUGGAAUGGCUCCAGAGGAUGGCCUCUAAGAUGAUCAAAGGGCUGGAGCACCUCUCCUGUGAGGAAAGGUUGAGGGAACAGGGCUUGUUUAGCUUGGAGAAGAGAAGGCUCCAGAAUGACCUCACUGUGGCUUUCCAAUAUUUGAAGGGAGUGUGUAAACAGAAAGGGGAGCGACUGUUUAUGAGUUGAUACUGAUAGGACAAGGGGGAACGGUUUUAAAACUGAGACAGGGGAGGUAAAGGUUAGAUAUUAGAAGGAAGUUUUUCACACAGAGGGUGGUGUCACACUGGAACACGUUGCCCAAGGAGGUUGUCAAUGCCCCAUCCCUGGAGGCAUUCAAGGCCAGGCUGGGUGUGGCUCUAGGCAGCAUGGUCUAGUGGCUGGCAACUUUAAAAUAUGAUGUAGAGUGGCUUGGCAGCCACAUUAACCUAUUCCUUCAGGACCCGGGGAUGCAUGUCAUCUUUCCCCAUACACUUGUAUAAAUUUGGUCUCAUAAGCUGGUCUUGAACUUUCUCUUUGCUUACAGUGGGAUAGAUUUUGCUCCUCCACCUCCUGCCAAAGGGUUCAGGUACAUGAGAGAUGUGGGAAGCCUGAG
Long non-coding RNA from Gallus gallus (chicken), 831 nucleotides. Lineage: Eukaryota; Metazoa; Chordata; Aves; Galliformes; Phasianidae. The record is from Ensembl.